Molecule: ribosomal RNA, 365 nt
Filed under: Phataginus tricuspis (Tree pangolin)
Lineage: Eukaryota; Metazoa; Chordata; Mammalia; Pholidota; Manidae
Description: partial 12S small subunit ribosomal RNA
Rfam family: Bacterial small subunit ribosomal RNA
Source: RNAcentral
UUAGCCCUAAACCCAGAUAAUUUUUUAAACAAAAUUAUUCGCCAGAGUACUACUAGCAAUAGCCUGAAACUCAAAGGACUUGGCGGUGCUUCAUAUCCCUCUAGAGGAGCCUGUCCUAUAAACGAUAAACCCCGAUAGACCUUACCAACCCUAGCUAAUACAGCCUAUAUACCGCCAUCCUCAGCAAACCCUGAUAAAGGAAAUAUAGUAAGCAAGAUUGUUAAAAUACAAAAACGUUAGGUCAAGGUGUAGCUUAUGAGUUGGAAAGAGAUGGGCUACAUUUUCUCAAAACAGAAAAAAAAACGAACAUUCUUAUGAUAUUAAGAGUUAAAGGAGGAUUUAGUAGUAAGCUAAGAAUAGAGAGC